UAGAGUUUGAUCAUGGCUCAGAUUGACCGCUGGCGGUAUGCUUAACACAUGCAAGUCGAACGGUAGCAGGCCUUCGGGCGCUGACGAGUGGCGGACGGGUGAGUAACGCGUAGGAAUCUGCCUCAUAGUGGGGGACAACGUGGGGAAACUCACGCUAAUACCGCAUACGCCCUACGGGGGAAAGCGGGGGAUCUUCGGACCUCGCGCUAUGAGAUGAGCCUGCGUUAGAUUAGCUAGUUGGUAGGGUAAAGGCCUACCAAGGCGACGAUCUAUAGCUGGUCUGAGAGGACGAUCAGCCACACUGGGACUGAGACACGGCCCAGACUCCUACGGGAGGCAGCAGUGGGGAAUAUUGGACAAUGGGCGCAAGCCUGAUCCAGCAAUACCGCGUGUGUGAAGAAGGCCUUAGGGUUGUAAAGCACUUUCAAUUGGGAGGAAAACCUGUCGGUCAAUACCCGGCAGCUUGACAUUAUCUUUAGAAGAAGCACCGGCUAACUCCGUGCCAGCAGCCGCGGUAAUA
Molecule: ribosomal RNA, 520 nt
Filed under: uncultured bacterium
Lineage: Bacteria
Description: bacterial SSU rRNA
Rfam family: Bacterial small subunit ribosomal RNA
Source: RNAcentral